Molecule: ribosomal RNA, 200 nt
Filed under: uncultured bacterium
Lineage: Bacteria
Description: partial 16S ribosomal RNA
Rfam family: Bacterial small subunit ribosomal RNA
Source: RNAcentral
AGUGAACGCUGGCGGUAGGCCUAACACAUGCAAGUCGAACGGCAGCACAGCAGUAGCAAUACUGUGGGUGGCGAGUGGCGGACGGGUGAGGAAUACAUCGGAAUCUACCUUUUCGUGGGGGAUAACGUAGGGAAACUUACGCUAAUACCGCAUAGACCUCGGUGAAAGUGGGGACCGUCGACGCCUCACGCGAUAGAUGA